Molecule: long non-coding RNA, 382 nt
Filed under: Cucumis sativus (cucumber)
Lineage: Eukaryota; Viridiplantae; Streptophyta; Magnoliopsida; Cucurbitales; Cucurbitaceae
Description: long non-coding RNA (CSAT_LNC002038)
Source: RNAcentral
GCGAAGUCUUCAAGGGGGAGCUGCCAGACAAACGUGUGGUAGCCGUCAAGUGCUUGAAAAACGUCGCGGGAGGUGACCGUGACUUUUGGGCGGAGGUCACCAUCAUCGCGAGGAUGCACCAUCUUAACUUGCUUCGAUUAUGGGGAUUCUGCGCAGAAAAGGGUCAGAGAAUUUUAGUAUACGAACAUAUCCCGAAUGGAUCGCUGGACAAAUUCCUGUUUGUGAAGCAUUCACCUUCCGAUUCGGAGAAGGAGGAAAGAGAGACGGAAGAAGAAAGGUCACCGCUGGAUUGGAGCAUACGGUACCGAAUCGCCAUCGGAGUAGCGAGAGCAAUCGCGUACUUGCACGAGGAAUGCUUGGAAUGGGUGUUGCAUCGAGACAU